GGCAGUUCAGUUUAAGGUUCAGGGGAACUGAAACCGGAUCAUGGGGCCCUGCUCAAUUCCAGUUCGGUCUUAUUUUGAUCAAAUCCAAUGUUUGAAACUUUAUUAAAUUAAAAAAAAAUCCGGUUUUGACUCAGAACUGGCUGGUUCAGUCUAGCUCAAAGAUGGUAUUGACCGGUCUGGUUCCAGACCAUGGCCUGGUCUACAUAACCAAGUUUUACUGCCAUUUUAGUCACAAUUUGAAACUAAGAAUGGCAACAGGGUAAUUGGUAUGUCAACGAGGAAGCAGUUUGUGAUGAGGAAUCUAAAUUGGGCUCUCAUAUCUAAAGUGUCAUUGAUGAUACGGGAACCCCAUACAAGGAUGAUGGUGGGCAAAUACAUUUGCAGCCUGCUGCAUGGCCCUUUCUAGUAAUAUUGCCUAAAUGCUUAAACUUGACAAUGAAAAAUCAACUUGUUCAACAUGAUUAAUCACCACACGAAAGUGGAUGCAAGAAGAUAAAAUAUUUGAAGCGCAAUGCUGGGUAGUAAAUAUCAAGAAUCAACAUACCUGGCUCUAUGUUCA
Molecule: unclassified non-coding RNA, 559 nt
Filed under: Hevea brasiliensis (rubber tree)
Lineage: Eukaryota; Viridiplantae; Streptophyta; Magnoliopsida; Malpighiales; Euphorbiaceae
Source: RNAcentral